Long non-coding RNA from Dermochelys coriacea (leatherback sea turtle), 598 nucleotides. RefSeq lists it as uncharacterized. The record is from RefSeq and is a predicted model, not a curated record. The transcript is spliced from 3 exons. Lineage: Eukaryota; Metazoa; Chordata; Testudines; Dermochelyidae.
CAGUGGCCGGAGGAGGAAUUACAUCACUUACUGGCUGGAGCCCAUCAAAGCCGCAGCACCCCCUGCAGGAAGUGUUCUAAAACUGCUUCAUAAUUUAACAACUGGCUCCAGCUCACCGCUGAAUAAAGUAUACAACACACUUUAGAAACAAUAGCUGCAUUCUUGCAAAAUAGUUUCCCCUCACUUCCCCUGCCUCCAUUCUAUUCAGAUGGAGUAGUCAGACGCAUAGAGCAAUUACUUUCAAUUCUGUUUGUUAGGUUAAGGAAUAAAACACUACUAUGACUGAAGCUCAUAACGUGCCAGAGAGGCUAUAUGAAACUUGAAUACCCAUGACCUAUGGGGAAAGCAGCGAGUCUCAGAAAGAAAAUUGCCACAGUAAAAUGUGAAACAAUGAAUACUAAUAAACCUUGCUAAUUAACAAGCCACGUGAACUUCAAGUUAGUUCUUCUCACCCUCAAGCUAACACUUCACUAAGAUUUAUUACAUUUAUUUACGCUACAUUGAUGACAUCUUCAUCAUCUGGACCCAUGGAAAAAGCUCUUGAUGAAUUCCCCAUGAUUUCAACAAUUUCCAUCCCACCAUCAACCUCAGCCUGGAC